ACUCCUUUAACCUGUGACCAGAGGGUAGGGUGCCAGCCAAAGGAAGAAGUAGAGCAGAGCCCCUCAGGUCAAGGACAGUGUGCAGGAGCCCCAAGGCAGGAGAAACCUUGGCCUAUGGGAAGAACAAAUAUGGCUGGUGCAUAGUGAAGAGAGAAAGUAAAAGGGAAGAUGGAGUGAAGGGGUGGGGGUGGGGGGACCAAAGACCCAGAUAGUGAGAAGCUAUGUGGUUCAUGAUGGACCAUUUGGAUUUUUGAGUGAGAUGGGAAGACACUGGAGGGUUUUAAGCAGGGGAGCAAUAUGAUCUGAUUCAUGGCUGAUGGAAAAGAAUGGAAACUGGGAGUAAAGGAACACUUGCAGGAACCUCAAGAGACCACGUGAAAACCCAAAAGAGAAAGAUGCUUGCUGAACGCACAAAGGCCUUGGUUCUUUCUGACAUUCUACUUUGUGAGCCUCUUCAGCUAUUGUUCUCAUUCAGCCAAGAAAACAGGUCUGCUCCAAGAAGGCACAGGAGCUACCAAGUGGAAGCUUCUGGCAUGAAGGUGACAAAAGGACAUACACCUCACAUAACAAGCACAUCUCAAGACUCUGCUCAUCUGUGAUCUGCUCACAUUCCAUUGGUCAGUGCUCACCCCAUGGCCAAGCUCAAUAUACAUCUAUAGAGCUGGAAAACAUAUUCUGUCUUUAGCAGAAGAAGGAAGAGAGGAAACGUUUGCUGAAUAAUAACUGAAACUAAAAUGAUCCGCCCUGUUGCUUCCUUUGCACAUUCUAAAUGGACCCAUUCUUUUGCUAAGACAUGUCAAAAACCUCCCCUAAUCAUAAUGUGAGGCUGAAAUUCCAAGAUCUCAUGACUACAACAUGUCCACAUGUCCCCUCUCCCUCUAGAGACCAAGUAUUACAAAAGGUCCACAGAAAUUUGAAAUGCUACUGAAUAAAUAAUGCCAACCCUUCUACCCUGUGAGAAGGGACCUAUCUUUUGAUUUGGCCCUGGGUUUGUUCCCUGGGAAUCUCUCUCCAUUCACCAUUUUUUAUGACUCUUUGAUCCACACUGGGGAAGG
Suricata suricatta (meerkat) is the source of this 1055-nucleotide long non-coding RNA. Lineage: Eukaryota; Metazoa; Chordata; Mammalia; Carnivora; Herpestidae. The record is from Ensembl.